Molecule: transfer RNA, 75 nt
Filed under: Escherichia coli
Lineage: Bacteria; Pseudomonadati; Pseudomonadota; Gammaproteobacteria; Enterobacterales; Enterobacteriaceae
Also listed under: 36 other names
Description: tRNA-Gln(ttg)
Rfam family: tRNA
About the family: Transfer RNA (tRNA) molecules are approximately 80 nucleotides in length. Their secondary structure includes four short double-helical elements and three loops (D, anti-codon, and T loops). Further hydrogen bonds mediate the characteristic L-shaped molecular structure. tRNAs have two regions of fundamental functional importance: the anti-codon, which is responsible for specific mRNA codon recognition, and the 3' end, to which the tRNAs corresponding amino acid is attached (by aminoacyl-tRNA synthetases). tRNAs cope with the degeneracy of the genetic code in two manners: having more than one tRNA (with a specific anti-codon) for a particular amino acid; and 'wobble' base-pairing, i.e. permitting non-standard base-pairing at the 3rd anti-codon position.
Source: RNAcentral
UGGGGUAUCGCCAAGCGGUAAGGCACCGGUUUUUGAUACCGGCAUUCCCUGGUUCAAAUCCAGGUACCCCAGCCA